UGUGAGGCACGCGUCGGGGUUGGGUGUCACGGGGCGGCCCGCGUUUUGUGUUGCGGGGCUAAGAGGAGAAGGAAUUGAUCGCGUCUCAAUUGGUGGUAUCGGCAUCUAACAUGGCGGCGCCGGACGAGCUGGGCCUGAACGAGCAUCACCAGGCGCAGCUGGUGCGCUACAUGCGCUUCGCGCGCCACCAGCGCGACAAGCGGCUGCGCACCGUCGACGUCGCCUUCGAGGACUGCAUGUUCGCGCGGCUCUCCGAGACGACAUACACCAGGGACGAGGUGGAGGAGCUGCUGACCCGG
Molecule: long non-coding RNA, 299 nt
Organism: Pollicipes pollicipes
Lineage: Eukaryota; Metazoa; Arthropoda; Thecostraca; Pollicipedomorpha; Pollicipedidae
Exons: 3
Source: RefSeq, a predicted model, not a curated record